This is a long non-coding RNA of Cercocebus atys (sooty mangabey), 1489 nucleotides long. RefSeq lists it as uncharacterized. The transcript has 3 exons. NCBI's taxonomy places the organism in Eukaryota, Metazoa, Chordata, Mammalia, Primates, Cercopithecidae. The record is from RefSeq and is a predicted model, not a curated record.
GUGAGUGGGAGCCUGCUCAGAGCUUCCCCUUACCCUGGCCACCUCCACCUCCCAGAGCUCUCCAGAUAGAGGCAGGGUCAGGGUCAAAUGGGAUGAGAGAGAAACAGAGAGACAAAGAAGGGAGGACAGGGACAGAGGCCUUUCCUGCUUGGGUGACUUUUCACACUCUUUCUUUUUGGCUUUUCUCUUCCUAUUAGAGAAGGAGUAGAAUAUGGAGAAAACUCUGGCUCCUGAUGUCCCUGAGUCAGGGGACGGUUGCUGACUGUCUGUGGGAGGGUGUGUCUUACACUUCUAAGGGUGUGAAGAAUUUCCAACCCAUGCACUACAACAGCCAUUGACACAUACACAGUGAGUCAGUGUGUGGGGGUGUGGGGUGUCCCUUUGACUAUAUUCUAGGUGGUCUGGGUGUGAGUGUCUGCCUUUACUAUGAGAGUGUGCAUGCCUCCUGGAGAUGUCAGGGAGUCUGAGUGUGGCAUUGGUGGGGACAGGUAAGUGUGAAUGAGUAUGCUGUGGAAGGGGCACAGAGCCAGACAGUUCCUCCCUGUGUGUUGGGCGGGGAGAAGAAUUAACGUUUAAAUGAGACCCAUACCAUCUGCUGGCAGAACCACCCAGAUAUAGAGUGUGUGUGUGUGUGUGUGUGUGCGCGCGCGCGUGUGCUGGGGUGCCAUCUCUGUGAAGAUGUGUUUACACACGUCUCAUGAUUGUGCUGUGUGUGUGUGCAGGUGUGGGAGACCGCCACGGUGCAGCAUGCCUCUGAGUAUCCAUGAGCAUCCUGCGCUUUGCGUGGGCUAGCCUGUGCUCCCGUCUCUGGGGGUCAGGGUUGUGGCAGUGCUGGGUGGCCGGGCCUGGGUUUGGGCUAGGUCUGAGAACCAUGCAAACGGUAGCAGCCUUGAUGUGUGGGUGGUGGGUAGCUAGAAGGAGGCAGGCUGGGACGGGGGCUGUGGGAGGCGAGCCGCAGAGACCCUCCUGCUCUUGGUUUUAGCUCCAAUCCAGGGCCUCUUCCCUGACUCUCUUCUUUGCCCCACUGGCCUGGGCGCUGCCCAGCUCCUAAGGGGCUCUUCAGGGCCAGUUCCGGGGCGGGGCCGGGAGGAGGGAGGGUGUUAAGCCACGCAGUGGUCAGGACCAGGGGCAGCUCCCAUUGCCGGGAGGGGCGGGCUUGGCCCCGCCCGGCGGGGAAGCGGGGACUCUCCGGAGGGGAGACUGGACGCUUCGCCGAAGGUGGGCCAGGAACGCCGAGAGUCAGCCCCAGAGAGCGCCAGGGAACUGCACCUGUCACCGAAGGGCGGGACGGGCGGCUCUGGGACAGGAAGGUCCCAACUGGAGCUGCAGGAAGAAGGGAAAUGUCUUUAUGUUUAAGAAGAGGAAAGCGAGGAACAGAAAGGGAAGAAACUGCCCGUCCUCAUGGCAAUAGAAGCUGCAGGAAGAAGGUUUAAGAGGAGGAAAGUGAGGAACAGAAAGGGAAGAAACUGCCUGUCCUCAUGGCAAUAGA